Molecule: long non-coding RNA, 932 nt
Filed under: Gallus gallus (chicken)
Lineage: Eukaryota; Metazoa; Chordata; Aves; Galliformes; Phasianidae
Source: RNAcentral
GGAGAUUGCUCUGUAGUGGAACACGACGCCUUUCACCAGGACCUCUAUGGUGUCUUGUCUGUCCUCAAUCCCAUACAUCACUUCACAGCGAUAAAUCCCAGUGUGGUUGGAUCUCAGCGCCUUGAUUUCCAAGGUGGCAUCAGUGGGGAUGGCAGGGUAAUUGGGCAAGGAGAUCACCUCUCUGUACUCUGCAUUGAGCCGGAUCUUCCCACCGGUGGCCACUAGUAAGACAAUCUCUGUUCCAUUGGAAAGCUUGCUCCAUUUGAUCCGGGGGGUCAGCAGAGCAUUGGUGUCCUCUUCCUCUGGGAUGUUGAAAUAGCAGGGGAUGUUCAGGGAGCUUCCCAGGACAACACGCAGGGGAGACUGCUCAGGUAUCUUCACUUCCAGGCCAUCGCUACUGUCUGAGAGCUCUGCGGAGGCAGCUGUGGUGAUGGCUUGCAAACACACAAACACUAGUAGUAGAGUGGUCAUAGUUUACCUUUAACAGUUCAGUGCAGUGCUCGGAGAAUCUAAGUCCCAUACACCUGGCAGAGAAAGUAGGUGUUUUUCGGUGCUCAAGACGGAAAGAGCUUGCCACUUCUUGCUGUUGCUGUAUGUCUUCUUUGCUAUCUCCAGAGGACUUUUCCUGCCUUUUUUUUUUUUUUUUUCCCAGUUCCCCAGAAGAAAUCACAAUUCCCUGUGUGGUAUUUCAGGUCCUUUCAGGCAGUGGCAGCAGCAGCAGGCUUGAAGAGUAAGUGCUGUGUGUGAAUGGCAAAAAAGAGAGAGAGGGUUUCAGACCACAUUAGCUGCCACUGGCUGCAAGAGAGACCAUCAAACUCCUGUCAGCCUCCUUAGAUACCUCUUGAAGAGCUGGCACACUAAGUGUAUUGGAUCCUCCUCUGGAUUUUAGAGUAAAGGUAGGCAGGCAUCCAGGGGGCAGGGGGAAAUAGGAG